RNAcentral lists this ribosomal RNA (254 nucleotides) under uncultured bacterium. RNAcentral describes it as "partial 16S ribosomal RNA". It matches the Rfam family "Bacterial small subunit ribosomal RNA", at positions 524 to 776 of the family's 1533-position model. The record is from RNAcentral.
CACGUAGGGUGCGAGCGUUGUCCGGAAUUAUUGGGCGUAAAGAGCUCGUAGGCGGUGUGUCGCGUCGGCCGUGAAAACCUGCAGCUUAACUGUGGGCGUGCGGUCGAUACGGGCAUCACUGGAGUUCGGCAGGGGAGACUGGAAUUCCUGGUGUAGCGGUGAAAUGCGCAGAUAUCAGGAGGAACACCGGUGGCGAAGGCGGAUCUCUGGGCCAUUACUGACGCUGAGGAGCGAAAGCGUGGGGAGCGAACAGG